Molecule: long non-coding RNA, 2068 nt
Organism: Eriocheir sinensis (Chinese mitten crab)
Lineage: Eukaryota; Metazoa; Arthropoda; Malacostraca; Decapoda; Varunidae
Exons: 5
Source: RefSeq, a predicted model, not a curated record
AUGCAGACACACACACUCAUUCCGACAUCUGGCCAUUUCACAACAACUGGAUGACAGAAGCUCGACACUACAGUUACGUAAAAAAUUAUAGAAUGUGUUUUUUCUCACUUAAUGCCCAUAUCACAGCAUCCAAUCAUGAACUAGAGUAAUGAAAUUUUGUAGUAUUUUCACAAGAUGCUUUAUUCAAAUGUCAUGCACUUGAGCAGUUUAUGAAAAUUUUGAGGUUUUACCGAGGGACAAGUGCACAAGGUAUUCACUCUACUGCAGCUUAUUAUCUCUGUAUCGCAUCUAGAAUUCAUGUCACUAAAAUAAAUGCUUCUCUUCUUCUAUUUCAAUGUCUUGCAAUCGUGAAGUUUGUGAAAAUUUUGAGGUUUUACCGAGGGACAAGUGCACAAGGUAUUCACUCUACUGCAGCUUAUUAUCUCUGUAUUGCAUCUAGAAUUCAUGUCACUAAAAUAAAUGCUUCUCUUCUUCUAUUUCAAUGUCUUGCAAUCGCGAAGUUUGUGAAAAUUUUGAGGUUUUACCGAGGGACAAAUGCAAAAGGUAUUCACUCCUCUACCGCAGCUUAUUAACCCUGCAUCAUGUCUAAAAUUCAGGUUAAGUCACUAAAAUCAACGCUCUUCCUCUCCUAUCAAAACAUCAUGCACUUAUGGAAAUUUUGAGGUUUUACAGAGGCACAAAUUCAAGAGGUAUUCACUCCUCUACCACAGCUUACUGACUCUGCCUCAUGUCUAGAAUGCAUCAUAAGGUUAAGUCAGCAAAAUCAAUGCUCUUCCUCUUCCAUUUAAAGAUCAAGCACUUGCAUAGUUUAUGGAAAUUUUGGGGGGGUUACAGAAGGGCAAAUGUAAGAGGUAUUCACUCCUCUACCGCAGCUUAUUCACUCUGCCUCGUGUCUAGAAUGCAUCAUAAGGUUAAGUCACUAAAAUCAAUGCUCUUCCUCUUCCAUUUAAAGAUCAAGCACUUGCAUAGUUUAUGGAAAUUUUGGGGGGGUUUACAGAAGGGCAAAUGCAAGAGGUAUUCACUCCUCUACCGCAGCUUACUGACUCUGCCUCAUGUCUAGAAUGCAUCAUAAGGUUAAGUCACUAAAAUCAAUGCUCUUCCUCUUCCAUUUAAAGAUCAAGCACUUGCAUCGUUUAUGGAAAUUUUUUGGGGGGUUUACAGAAGGGCAAAUGCAAGAGGUGUUCACUCCUCUACCACAGCUUACUGACUCUGCCUCAUGUCUAGAAUGCAUCAUAAGGUUAAGUCACUAAAAUCAAUGCUCCUCCUAUUUAAUCAUCAAGCACUUCUACAGUUUAUGGAAAUUUUGGAGUUUGAUUCUGCCUCAUGUCUAGAGAGCAUCAUAAGGUUAACUCACAAAAAUCAAUGCUCUUCCUCUAUAAACAUCAAGCACUUCUACAAUUUAUGGAAAUUUUGGAGUUUGAUUCUGCCUCAUGUCUAGAGAGCAUCAUAAGGUUAACUCACAAAAAUUGAACUUCUACAAUUUAUGGAAAUUUUGGGGGGUUUUGCAGAAGGACAAAUGCAAGAGGUACUCACUCCUCUACUGCAGCUUAUUCACUCUGCCUCAUGUCAAGAAUGUGUCCCAAGGUUGAGUCACUAAAAUCAAUGCUUCUCCUCACUCUUCAGACACAAGUAAUCCAAACCUUGUAUUCUGGCAAGCAUCGGGCUCACUACCCACACUAGUACUACCUCUAUUAGUGAACUUGCAUACCAAACAUCCAAACAACACUACCAAUAAAACAAGAGUGGUGUGCAUGUGUGGCGUGGUGUGUGCAUGUGUGGUGUGUGUGUGUGUGUGUAUACUUGCAUGCUCAAACCACAUAUGUCACACAAGAGAUACAAAUGCCCUAUGCUGUUGUUUCUUGGGUUGUUGUUCUGGGGUUGGAAAAAGCAUUCAUCUAUCACAAAGAAAAGCAUACAAAAGCACUACCAGGCAAUAAAGGUUAGAAGAGAAACACUACUGGAAGAGAAAGCACUGGAAAAAGGAUAAUUCUAUAAGCCACACACACAGACACACACACACUCACACACAGACACACCCGCAACCAUAGCCACACCCCACAGCCUCCAC